This 389-nucleotide ribosomal RNA is filed under the name uncultured bacterium. RNAcentral describes it as "bacterial SSU rRNA". It matches the Rfam family "Bacterial small subunit ribosomal RNA", at positions 941 to 1325 of the family's 1533-position model. The record is from RNAcentral.
GUGGUUUAAUUCGACGCAACGCGAGGAACCUUACCUAGGCUUGACAUGUGGUGAGUAGCGAACCGAAAGGGGAGCGACCCGUCAAAUCGGGCCAUCACACAGGUGCUGCAUGGCUGUCGUCAGCUCGUGCCGUGAGGUGUGGGUUCAGUCCCGCAACGAGCGCAACCCUCGCCCUUUGUUGCCAUCGGGUAAAGCCGGGCACUCUAAGGGGACUGCCAGCGACAAGUUGGAGGAAGGAGAGGAUGACGUCAAGUCAUCAUGGCCUUUAUGCCUAGGGCCACACACGUGCAACAAUGGCCGGUACAGACGGAGGCAAUGCCGAGAGGCGGAGCAAACCCGAGAAAACCGGUCCCAGUUCGGAUUGAGGUCUGCAACUCGACCUCAUGAAG